CAUCUCCUGAUUCCUUACCCCUCAGAUCUAAAUAUUGAUCUGAGUUUCUGAAAAGAGGAAAAGUAAAACUGAAACAGACUUGGAGUCUUUAAUGACAAUCAAGUCCAUUUCCAAACAUUA
This 120-nucleotide small nucleolar RNA is filed under the name Echinops telfairi (small Madagascar hedgehog). Its description in RNAcentral is "Small nucleolar RNA SNORA61 (ENSETEG00000025837.1)". The record is from RNAcentral. Lineage: Eukaryota; Metazoa; Chordata; Mammalia; Afrosoricida; Tenrecidae.